AACCCGUAGCUCUGGACUUGUGUUGAGGUUGGGUCACAAGCUCACGCUUAUGGGUCAG
Molecule: microRNA precursor, 58 nt
Filed under: Octopus vulgaris (common octopus)
Lineage: Eukaryota; Metazoa; Mollusca; Cephalopoda; Octopoda; Octopodidae
Also listed under: 1 other name
Description: Ovu-Mir-10-P2_pre stem-loop
Source: RNAcentral